GGUUUGAAAAGUCAGCUGUGAAAGCCCCGGGCUCAACCUGGGAACUGCGGUUGAAACUCUCAAGCUAGAGUGCGUCAGAGGGGGGUGGAAUUCCACGUGUAGCAGUGAAAUGCGUAGAGAUGUGGAGGAACACCAAUGGCGAAGGCAGCUCCCUGGGAUGACACUGACGCUCAUGCACGAAAGCGUGGGGAGCAAACAGGAUUAGAUACCCUGGUAGUCCACGCCCUAAACGAUGUCGACUAGCCGUUGGAGAUUUCGGUUUCUGGUGGCGCAGCUAACGCGUGAAGUCGACCGCCUG
Molecule: ribosomal RNA, 298 nt
Filed under: Laribacter hongkongensis
Lineage: Bacteria; Pseudomonadati; Pseudomonadota; Betaproteobacteria; Neisseriales; Aquaspirillaceae
Description: partial 16S ribosomal RNA
Rfam family: Bacterial small subunit ribosomal RNA
Source: RNAcentral